This 449-nucleotide ribosomal RNA is filed under the name uncultured bacterium. RNAcentral's name for it is "partial 16S ribosomal RNA". It matches the Rfam family "Bacterial small subunit ribosomal RNA", at positions 29 to 523 of the family's 1533-position model. The record is from RNAcentral.
AGCGAACGCUGGCGGCAGGCUUAACACAUGCAAGUCGAGCGGGCCCUUCGGGGUCAGCGGCGGACGGGUGAGUAACGCGUGGGAACGUGCCUUCUGGUUCGGAAUAACCCUGGGAAACUAGGGCUAAUACCGGAUACGCCCUUUUGGGGAAAGGUUUACUGCCGGAAGAUCGGCCCGCGUCUGAUUAGCUAGUUGGUGGGGUAACGGCCUACCAAGGCGACGAUCAGUAGCUGGUCUGAGAGGAUGAUCAGCCACACUGGGACUGAGACACGGCCCAGACUCCUACGGGAGGCAGCAGUGGGGAAUAUUGGACAAUGGGCGCAAGCCUGAUCCAGCCAUGCCGCGUGAGUGAUGAAGGCCUUAGGGUUGUAAAGCUCUUUUAUCCGGGACGAUAAUGACGGUACCGGAGGAAUAAGCCCCGGCUAACUUCGUGCCAGCAGCCGCCGUAA